GAUCAUGGCUCAGGAUGAACGCUAGCGACAGGCUUAACACAUGCAAGUCGAGGGGCAUCAUGAGGUAGCAAUACCUUGAUGGCGACCGGCGCACGGGUGAGUAACGCGUAUGCAACCUGCCUGAUACCGGGGUAUAGCCCAUGGAAACGUGGAUUAACACCCCAUAGUACUUUUAUCCUGCCUGGGAUGGGAGUUAAAUGUUCAAGGUAUCGGAUGGGCAUGCGCCCUAUUAG
This 233-nucleotide ribosomal RNA is filed under the name uncultured bacterium. Its description in RNAcentral is "partial 16S ribosomal RNA". It matches the Rfam family "Bacterial small subunit ribosomal RNA", at positions 15 to 244 of the family's 1533-position model. The record is from RNAcentral.